Molecule: long non-coding RNA, 922 nt
Organism: Cyanistes caeruleus (blue tit)
Lineage: Eukaryota; Metazoa; Chordata; Aves; Passeriformes; Paridae
Source: Ensembl
AUUAUAUACAGGAGGUACGGCUGAGAAGUCUCCAUUAGUGUUUGGGAAAGGUCAGCAGUAAUCAAAGCUCAGAACUCUUAAGCUUGCCUGGACAUCUGGCAGCAGCUGUGGACAGAGAGCACAGCUCCUUGCUGGGAGCUGUUGGCUCUCCCCCUUCCAUCCCAGGUACCUGUCAGAUGGACUUUGCAGCUUGGGUUGAUGCAGGACUGAGAUUUACAGGGACAGAGGUUAAUGGAAAUGAAUUCUCUACCUGAGGAAAAGUACAUUGCUGGCUUCCAAACGUUGUGACUUCCUUGUUCAGCCAUUCCAGAGACCCCUGAUUUCUACAAGGUCUCUGACAGAGGGGAAACAGCUUUGUUAGUUCAUUCAUUGUUAGUUCAGGGCUCGCUGUGCUGUGUGAGCUGCAUCACAGAAUCGCUUGUUAUGGAUGUGAAUUAGCUGCUGUUAUGUUAACUAGCAUUAUGGAGCAAUCUAAUGCUAAUUAAAAUUGUUUUGUCGCUGUUCUACGGUAUUAAAUUUUAAUUGGAGUGCAUAGAUCUCUCUCUUGACUGGUGCAAAAUUAAAUAAUUAAUUAAUAUCCUGGUUUAAUUCCAGAUAUUCGCUGCCAUCUCACUGUAUUUUCAAUAACUUCAACGAGCUUUGAAACAUGCUGUAGAAUGAUACCCAAAAAAAACCCACCCCUUUAAUGAAAUUUGAACGUAAUAGCAUUUUAUUUAUGCUAAAUUAAUUUAUCUCUUGUGUACUUUUGCAGUUUAAGCUUUGUAACCUAUCCUGUUCAAUAAUUUCUGAGGUCCUAAUCAGGCCUACCUAUCUCCUGUGAUGUAUUGAAUCACCCAGGAAAUUGUCUGUUGUUUAACAAUUAACCAAGCUCAUUUCUACCUCUAGCAAUAAACUUUUAGGACCUUUGAACUGAUAUUUGCCU